AGCUACUGCUAUUAGAGUUCGAUUAAGCCAUGUUAGUUGAGGGUGCUUCUUCUUCCUCGGAGGAAGAAGUAACCCGGCGGACGGCUCAGUAACACGUGGACAACUUGUCCUUUGGACCGGGAUAACCCCUGGGAAACUGGGGCUAAUACCGGAUAGAGCAUUGAUAGCUGGAAUGCACGAUGCUCGAAAGCUGAGGCGCCAAAGGGUAGGUCUGCGGCCGAUUAGGUUGUUGUUGAUGUAAUGGAUCAACAAGCCUCCGAUCGGUAUGGGUUGUGAGAGCAAUAUCCCAGAGAUGGGUUCUGAGAGAAGAACCCAGGUCCUACGGGACGCAUCAGGCGCGAAAACUUUACAAUGUGCGAAAGCACGAUAAGGGAACUCUGAGUGCCUCCAAAGGAGGCUGUUCAGGUGUCUAAAAAGCAUCUGAAGUAAGGGCUGGGCAAGACCGGUGCCAGCCGCCGCGGUAACACCGGCAGCCCAAGUGGUGGCCACUUUUAUUUGGUCUAAAGCGUUCGUAGCCGGCUAUGUAAGUUCCUUGGGAAAUUUAAUCGCUUAACGAUUAAGCUUCCAGGGAAUACUGCUUAGCUUGGGACCGGGAGAGGUCAGAGGUACCUCAAGGGUAGGGGUGAAAUCCGUUAAUCCUUGGGGGACCGCCAGUAGCGAAGGCGUCUGACCAGACCGGAUCCGACGGUGAGGGACGAAGGCUAGGGUAGCGAACCGGAUUAGAUACCCGGGUAGUCCUAGCUGUAAACGAUGCGGGCUAGGUGUUGGCAUUACUGCGAGUGAUGCCAGUGCCGAAGGGAAGCCGUUAAGCCCGCUAUCUGGGGAGUACGGUCGCAAGGCUGAAACUUAAAGGAAUUGGCGGGGGAGCACUACAACGGGUGGAGCCUGCGGUUC
Molecule: ribosomal RNA, 894 nt
Filed under: uncultured archaeon
Lineage: Archaea
Description: bacterial SSU rRNA
Rfam family: Archaeal small subunit ribosomal RNA
Source: RNAcentral